This is a non-coding RNA of Triticum urartu, 115 nucleotides long. Lineage: Eukaryota; Viridiplantae; Streptophyta; Magnoliopsida; Poales; Poaceae. The record is from Rfam.
AUUAUACUCCCUCCGUUCCGAAUUACUUGUCGUAGGUAUGGAUGUAUCCAGAUGUAUUUUAGUUCUAGAUACAUCCAUUUCUGCGACGACUAAUUUAGAAUGGAGGGAGUAGCAA